Molecule: long non-coding RNA, 353 nt
Organism: Strigops habroptila (Kakapo)
Lineage: Eukaryota; Metazoa; Chordata; Aves; Psittaciformes; Psittacidae
Exons: 2
Source: RefSeq, a predicted model, not a curated record
AUUCUUCCAUGUUCAGUGCCACCUCAGGGAGCAGAAAUGUAGAAAAUGUUGCCUGUAGCUGUAAAUCUCAGGGGGAGGGACUGAAAAGCACAAAUAACAGUUAAAUAAAUCGUUCAUGGCCACCACCCAUUCUGUGCACAAGGAUUUGGGGAGAAGUGUAGAUCAGCUUGCUUUAUUUUUUUUUCCUGCUUUGGAAGCAGAGCACUAUUAUAGCAACCAACUCUCUGGGGCUUUCUCCAGGCUCAGCAUCGUGGCAGGCUCAACUAUGCUUAUACAUCUGUUGCCAAAAAGCAAAUAUUUGGAGGAGGGAGAGGAUGUAGCCAAGGAUACACAAGGAUAGCACAUACAGAAGA